Molecule: ribosomal RNA, 466 nt
Filed under: uncultured bacterium
Lineage: Bacteria
Description: partial 16S ribosomal RNA
Rfam family: Bacterial small subunit ribosomal RNA
Source: RNAcentral
GACGAACGCUGGCGGCGCGCCUAACACAUGCAAGUCGAACGAGCGAGAGAGAGCUUGCUUUCUCGAGCGAGUGGCGAACGGGUGAGUAACGCGUGAGGAACCUGCCUCAAAGAGGGGGACAACAGUUGGAAACGACUGCUAAUACCGCAUAAGCCCACGGCUCGGCAUCGAGCAGGGGGAAAAGGAGCAAUCCGCUUUGAGAUGGCCUCGCGUCCGAUUAGCUAGUUGGUGAGGUAACGGCCCACCAAGGCGACGAUCGGUAGCCGGACUGAGAGGUUGAACGGCCACAUUGGGACUGAGACACGGCCCAGACUCCUACGGGAGGCAGCAGUGGGGAAUAUUUCACAAUGGGGGAAACCCUGAUGCAGCGACGCCGCGUGGAGGAAGAAGGUCUUCGGAUUGUAAACUCCUGUUGUUGGGGAAGAUAAUGACGGUACCCAACAAGGAAGUGACGGCUAACUACGUG